This is a non-coding RNA of Chlorocebus sabaeus (green monkey), 1150 nucleotides long. NCBI's taxonomy places the organism in Eukaryota, Metazoa, Chordata, Mammalia, Primates, Cercopithecidae. The record is from RefSeq and is a predicted model, not a curated record.
CUCAAAAAACAAAAAAUAAAUAAAAUAAACUAAAGAAAUUGUUAUGGGUGCAAUAUAUGAUGUAGGCAGUAGUGUAAAAGGGGUAGGUAUAAAAACCGUGGGAUAGUUGAUAUUGGAGCUGAAUGUUGAAUGAUGAUUAGGUGUUUGUCAGGUAACCACGUGUGCACAUGACAGUAAGUAGAGCAGAGCAGGAGCAACAACAUAGAAGCUGAUGUGUUCUGAAGCUGCAGAUGCGGGUGAUUAGAGGAUAGAAGUACCAGAGAUGUUGCAAGAUGAGGUGAGGUAUGUAGAUAAGUAAAAUGGGGCAGGAAUGUGAGAUGCAUAAUCUUGGGAGCAUUUCUAAGGAGUCUGAGUUUUAUUUUAUAGACAGGGAGAAGUCAUUAUACGGCCUUGAAGCAAGAAAUAACAUGAUCAACUCUACAUUUUCAAAAGAUACCUGUGCUCCACAUUAUGUGUCAUUAGGGAAAUGGAAAUUAAAACAACAGUGACAUACCGUUACAUGACGGUUACAAUGGCUGAAAUCCAAAACACUGACAACACCAAAGCUGGUGAAGAUGGGGAACAACAGAAACUCUCAUUCACUGCUGGUGGGAAUACAACAUGGUACUUUGGAAGAUUGUUUGGCAACUUCUUACAUAUUCUUACUGUAUGAUCCAGCAAUUAGGCUCCUUGGAAUUUGCCCAAGUGAAUUGAAAACAUGUUCACACAAAAACCUGCAUACAGAUGUGUAUGGAAGCUUUUUUCAUAAUUUCCAAAUCUUGGAAGCAACUAAGAUGUCCUUCAGUAGAUGAACGUAUAAAUAAACUCUGUAGUAUACCCAGACAAUGGACCAAAAAGAAAAGAGCUAUCAACCCAUGAAAAGACAUGGAGGAACCUUAAAAAUGUGUGUUACUAUGUGAAAGAAGCCAAUCUGAAAAGGCUGUAUACUAUAAAAUUCUGAAUUAUGUUCUGGAAAAGGUAAAACUAUGGAGAUGGUAAAAAAGUGUAGUGUUUGCCAGGAUCUGAGGGGAGAGAGGAAUGAAUAGGCAAAGCACAGAGGGAUCGUAGCACAGCGUAUGUAUUCUGUGUGGUACUGAAUGGUGGAUACACGUCAUUACGCAUUAGUUCAAAUCCAUCAAGAGUGAACCCUAAUGUAAAUUACAAACUUCAA